This 27-nucleotide non-coding RNA is filed under the name Mus musculus (house mouse). The record is from RNAcentral. Lineage: Eukaryota; Metazoa; Chordata; Mammalia; Rodentia; Muridae.
UGAGCUGAAGUUCCCUGCGUAAAGAUG